UACGUAGGGUGCAAGCGUUAAUCGGAAUUACUGGGAGUAAAGCGUGCGCAGGCGGUUUUGUAAGUUUGUCGUGAAAUCCCCGGGCUUAACCUGGGAAUUGCGUUGGAGACUGCAAGGCUAGAAUCUGGCAGAGGGGGGUAGAAUUCCACGUGUAGCAGUGAAAUGCGUAGAGAUGUGGAGGAACACCGAUGGCGAAGGCAGCCCCCUGGGUCAAGAUUGACGCUCAUGCACGAAAGCGUGGGGAGCAAACAGG
This 253-nucleotide ribosomal RNA is filed under the name uncultured bacterium. Its description in RNAcentral is "partial 16S ribosomal RNA". It matches the Rfam family "Bacterial small subunit ribosomal RNA", at positions 524 to 776 of the family's 1533-position model. The record is from RNAcentral.